AUUGGUGUAUGCAUGGUUUUGUGUG
RNAcentral lists this non-coding RNA (25 nucleotides) under Rattus norvegicus (Norway rat). The record is from RNAcentral. Lineage: Eukaryota; Metazoa; Chordata; Mammalia; Rodentia; Muridae.